UUAGGGUACAAGCAAUGGAUUUGGCCUCACUGGUUUUGAAUUUGGCAUAAGGCAAGAUAUGCAUGUAGAAAUGCCCAGCAAACAGUCGAUUUGGGACUAAUGGUGGACCAACUGGACAGAAAAUCAAAGUCAGACUCAGAUAAGGAAGGUGAAAUUCCAAGAUGGCACAAGAGAGCCGGUUGUAGAUGCUGCCACACGGAGGAAGACACAGCCCGUUAGUCCUGAAGAGUAGCAGCCAGUCAACAGAGAAAAGGCCGCUUCUCCAAGGCUGUCAGUGGCCUGAAGGGACUUGUCACUUUGAUCAUCAGCUGGUAUUUGGACUUCAAGGGCAAGUUUGCCCAUAUCUUCCCUUCUCUGAGCCACCCUGCUUCCGCCACACCCAGCCCUCUAUGUCCAAGUCCUAAGCAUGCUCCGAGGUCCUUCUCUGAUGCCACCACCUUCUCAGACCUGGCCGGCAUCUCCUCCUUCUCCAAAUCAUCAGAGCUUUUAUUUCCCUUCACCUGUUAUGUCAUUUUCUCUCUUGUGGUGCAGAUAUUUGUGUAUGUCUAUGUCCCAUGUCCUGUACUACUCUGUAUGCUUAAGCUCUU
This is a long non-coding RNA of Eptesicus fuscus (big brown bat), 587 nucleotides long. RefSeq lists it as uncharacterized. The transcript has 3 exons. Lineage: Eukaryota; Metazoa; Chordata; Mammalia; Chiroptera; Vespertilionidae. The record is from RefSeq and is a predicted model, not a curated record.